GCUUCUUGGCAUGUAUGCCUCAGGAUCAAAAAGGCUUGCACUCUGAGAUGACCGAGAGCCUCUACUUUGGUUGCUGAGCUGGAGGAGCCGAUGACUGCAUGGAUGUACAGAAGAUAUUGAUCCAGCCUUUUGCAUUCCACUUCCUUUCUUUUAGCAAAAAGUUGAGUGGAGGAAGAGGCAAUGAUCAGGGUGGCAUUUUAAGUCUGGAACAAUGCCCUGAGAAGAUGUGGCUCAUCAUAGGGAAAGGUUUCUUGACUCCUUAGUAGCCUUGAAAGUUGUUUUCCCACUCCCUUGCCAAGCAUGGUAUAGAAUAGUGGGCUUUAAACCUGGUGAGGAGCUAUACAUCAGAGUGGUAGUGUAGGUACCUGCGGGAUCAAAAAUUUAGAGCUAGAAAGAACUGGAGAAAUUAUCUAGUUCAAUCCACUCAUUUUGUAGAUAAGGAAAACAAAGUGCAAGAAGAUUAAAUGGCCACCUGAAGUCAUGCAGGAAGUGGAAUCACAGAAGGAUGAGAAAACUAAGGGCCAUGGAGUUUAAAUUCAAGUUCAAGACGAAUGAGAUGUCCCAGUGAAGACUUCUCAGUGUAAUUAAGUGUAUCGGAGGAGCAGACAGCCAUCUCUCAAGAUUGUAAUAA
Phascolarctos cinereus (koala) is the source of this 631-nucleotide non-coding RNA. The record is from RefSeq and is a predicted model, not a curated record. Lineage: Eukaryota; Metazoa; Chordata; Mammalia; Diprotodontia; Phascolarctidae.